GAUGCUGGCUCAGGAUGAACGCUAGCUACAGGCUUAACACAUGCAAGUCGAGGGGCAGCGGGAUUGAAGCUUGCUUCAAUUGCCGGCGACCGGCGCACGGGUGAGUAACGCGUAUCCAACCUUCCGUACACUCAGGGAUAGCCUUUCGAAAGAAGGAUUAAUACCUGAUGGUAUGAUGAGAUUGCAUGAUAGCAUCAUUAAAGAUUUAUCGGUGUACGAUGGGGA
RNAcentral lists this ribosomal RNA (225 nucleotides) under uncultured bacterium. RNAcentral's name for it is "partial 16S ribosomal RNA". It matches the Rfam family "Bacterial small subunit ribosomal RNA", at positions 15 to 231 of the family's 1533-position model. The record is from RNAcentral.